Long non-coding RNA from Lampris incognitus (smalleye Pacific opah), 254 nucleotides. RefSeq lists it as uncharacterized. The transcript has 3 exons. The record is from RefSeq and is a predicted model, not a curated record. Lineage: Eukaryota; Metazoa; Chordata; Actinopteri; Lampriformes; Lampridae.
GGGAGCGACGGCUGAGGAAAGAGCUCUGACAAGGCCAGACGAGCCAAUGCCACCUCUGCGCUGGGUGUGGAGCACCUCAGGGGCAGCACUAAGGCCUUCUAUAGAGGGAGUCAUCGAUCAUGUCAGCGUGUUCAGGAUGCUUACACCCUGCGCUGUAUCCCACAGGAGGAAACUGAUGCAGACACGGGGAGAACAUGCAAACUCCACACAGAGGACGACCCCCAAGGUUGGACUACCCUGGGGCUCGAACCCAG